Molecule: ribosomal RNA, 235 nt
Filed under: uncultured prokaryote
Description: partial 16S ribosomal RNA
Rfam family: Bacterial small subunit ribosomal RNA
Source: RNAcentral
UACGUAGGGUGCGAGCGUUAAUCGGAAUUACUGGGCGUAAAGCGAGUGUAGGCGGUUUGCCAAGUCCGUUGUGAAAUCUCCCGGCUCAACUGGGAGGGUGCGGCGGAAACUGGCAGGCUAGAGUGCGGAAUGGGAGAGUGGAAUUCCUGGUGUAGCGGUGAAAUGCGUAGAUAUCAGGAGGAACACCGGUGGUGAAGACGGCUCUCUGGACCGCUACUGACGCUGAGCCUCGAAA